RNAcentral lists this ribosomal RNA (404 nucleotides) under uncultured bacterium. Its description in RNAcentral is "bacterial SSU rRNA". It matches the Rfam family "Bacterial small subunit ribosomal RNA", at positions 355 to 776 of the family's 1533-position model. The record is from RNAcentral.
UGGGGAAUAUUGCACAAUGGGGGAAACCCUGAUGCAGCGACGCCGCGUGAGUGAAGAAGUAUCUCGGUACGUAAAGCUCUAUCAGCAGGGAAGAAAAUGACGGUACCUGAUUAAGAAGCCCCGGCUAACUACGUGCCAGCAGCCGCGGUAAUACGUAGGGGGCAAGCGUUAUCCGGAUUUACUGGGUGUAAAGGGAGCGUAGACGGCAGCGCAAGUCUGGAGUGAAAUCCCGGGGCUCAACCACGGGACUGCUUUGGAAACUGUGCGGCUGGAGUGCAGGAGGGGUAAGCGGAAUUCCUAGUGUAGCGGUGAAAUGCGUAGAUAUUAGGAGGAACACCGGUGGCGAAGGCGGCUUACUGGACUGUAACUGACGUUGAGGCUCGAAAGCGUGGGGAGCAAACAGG